AUUGAACGCUGGCGGCAGGCCUAACACAUGCAAGUCGAACGGUAGCACAGAGGAGCUUGCUCCUUGGGUGACGAGUGGCGGACGGGUGAGUAAUGUCUGGGAAACUGCCCGAUGGAGGGGGAUAACUACUGGAAACGGUAGCUAAUACCGCAUAACGUCGCAAGACCAAAGAGGGGGACCUUCGGGCCUCUUGCCAUCGGAUGUGCCCAGAUGGGAUUAGCUAGUAGGUGAGGUAACGGCUCACCUAGGCGACGAUCCCUAGCUGGUCUGAGAGGAUGACCAGCCACACUGGAACUGAGACACGGUCCAGACUCCUACGGGAGGCAGCAGUGGGGAAUAUUGCACAAUGGGCGCAAGCCUGAUGCAGCCAUGCCGCGUGUAUGAAGAAGGCCUUCGGGUUGUAAAGUACUUUCAGCGAGGAGGAAGGCGUUGUGGUUAAUAACCGCAGCGAUUGACGUUACUCGCAGAAGAAGCACCGGCUAACUCCGUGCCAGCAGCCGCGGUAAUACGGAGGGUGCAAGCGUUAAUCGGAAUUACUGGGCGUAAAGCGCACGCAGGCGGUCUGUCAAGUCGGAUGUGAAAUCCCCGGGCUCAACCUGGGAACUGCAUCCGAAACUGGCAGGCUAGAGUCUUGUAGAGGGGGGUAGAAUUCCAGGUGUAGCGGUGAAAUGCGUAGAGAUCUGGAGAAAUACCGGUGGCGAAGGCGGCCCCCUGGACAAAGACUGACGCUCAGGUGCGAAAGCGUGGGGAGCAAACAGGAUUAGAUACCUGGGUAGUCCACGCCGUAAACGAUGUCGACUUGGAGGUUGUGCCCUUGAGGCGUGGCUUCCGGAGCUAACGCGUUAAGUCGACCGCCUGGGGAGUACGGCCGCAAGGUUAAAACUCAAAUGAAUUGACGGGGGCCCGCACAAGCGGUGGAGCAUGUGGUUUAAUUCGAUGCAACGCGAAGAACCUUACCUACUCUUGACAUCCAGAGAACUUAGCAGAGAUGCUUUGGUGCCUUCGGGAACUCUGAGACAGGUGCUGCAUGGCUGUCGUCAGCUCGUGUUGUGAAAUGUUGGGUUAAGUCCCGCAACGAGCGCAACCCUUAUCCUUUGUUGCCAGCGGUCCGGCCGGGAACUCAAAGGAGACUGCCAGUGAUAAACUGGAGGAAGGUGGGGAUGACGUCAAGUCAUCAUGGCCCUUACGAGUAGGGCUACACACGUGCUACAAUGGCAUAUACAAAGAGAAGCGACCUCGCGAGAGCAAGCGGACCUCAUAAAGUAUGUCGUAGUCCGGAUUGGAGUCUGCAACUCGACUCCAUGAAGUCGGAAUCGCUAGUAAUCGUGGAUCAGAAUGCCACGGUGAAUACGUUCCCGGGCCUUGUACACACCGCCCGUCACACCAUGGGAGUGGGUUGCAAAAGAAGUAGGUAGCUUAA
Molecule: ribosomal RNA, 1420 nt
Filed under: uncultured bacterium
Lineage: Bacteria
Description: 16S ribosomal RNA
Rfam family: Bacterial small subunit ribosomal RNA
Source: RNAcentral